RNAcentral lists this ribosomal RNA (497 nucleotides) under uncultured bacterium. Its description in RNAcentral is "partial 16S ribosomal RNA". It matches the Rfam family "Bacterial small subunit ribosomal RNA", at positions 28 to 507 of the family's 1533-position model. The record is from RNAcentral.
GACGAACGCUGGCGGCGUGCCUAAUACAUGCAAGUUGAGCGCUGAAGGUUGGUACUUGUACCAACUGGAUGAGCAGCGAACGGGUGAGUAACGCGUGGGGAAUCUGCCUUUGAGCGGGGGACAACAUUUGGAAACGAAUGCUAAUACCGCAUAAAAACUUUAAACACAAGUUUUAAGUUUGAAAGAUGCAAUUGCAUCACUCAAAGAUGAUCCCGCGUUGUAUUAGCUAGUUGGUGAGGUAAAGGCUCACCAAGGCGAUGAUACAUAGCCGACCUGAGAGGGUGAUCGGCCAAAAUGGGACUGAGACACGGCCCAAACUCCUACGGGAGGCAGCAGUAGGGAAUCUUCGGCCAUGGACGAAAGUCUGACCGAGCAACGCCGCGUGAGUGAAGAAGGUUUUCGGAUCGUAAAACUCUGUUGGUAGAGAAGAAAGUUGGUGAGAGUGGAAAGCUCAUCAAGUGACGGUAACUACCCAGAAAGGGACGGCUAACUACGUG